Molecule: ribosomal RNA, 253 nt
Filed under: uncultured bacterium
Lineage: Bacteria
Description: partial 16S ribosomal RNA
Rfam family: Bacterial small subunit ribosomal RNA
Source: RNAcentral
UACGUAGGCAGCAAGCGUUGUUCGGAGUUACUGGGCGUAAAGGGUGUGUAGGCGGUUCCUUAAGUUUUCUGUGAAAUCUCCCGGCUUAACCGGGAGGGUGCGGUGAAUACUGAGGGACUAGAGUACGGGAGAGGAAAGUGGAAUUCCUGGUGUAGCGGUGAAAUGCGUAGAUAUCAGGAGGAACACCGGUGGUGUAGACGGCUUUCUGGACCGUAACUGACGCUGAGACACGAAAGCGUGGGUAGCAAACAGG